Molecule: long non-coding RNA, 978 nt
Filed under: Cricetulus griseus (Chinese hamster)
Lineage: Eukaryota; Metazoa; Chordata; Mammalia; Rodentia; Cricetidae
Description: lncRNA (ENSCGRG00015043121.1)
Source: RNAcentral
CGCCCCUCGGCAAUCGCCGCCGCCUCCGCGCGGGCAGCCCGCGGGAGGCCAUGAAGGGAUCGGAAAAGCUCGGGAAUCUCCGGGAUGCUCUGGGAGGCAAGGAUCGGGAAGGGUCCGCCUCUUUUAGGGCGGCGGCCGGAGCGCGGAACUGGAAGGACCCGGGUACGGGGCAGCGACUCAGGCUAGAGGUUGCUGCAGUCAAGGGCACAGAAAAAUAUCAUGGCGUCCUCCACAUGCUCUGGGACCUUGGGAUUCCAAGCUGCUGACUCAGGCAGACACGUAGGCAUCUCUGCUCUCAACACCUUGGUGGAGGGAAACUGCUGGACUGCUACUCCAGAGACCCUGAAGAGCAAGAACGGAAAGCAGGGGCUCCUCACCUCUCAGAUGUCACACGGACCUGGAGUGCUGACUCUCCCUCUGGCCUCUCUGAGGCUCCCUGUAGAGGACUCAGGCAUCAGUACCCUAGGACUCCGGAUUAAGAGGUAGACAGAUCUUUGUGAGUCCAAGGCCACCCAGAUCUACACAAGAGUGAAUCAGCCUGAAAGAGAAUUAUAGCUCACACCUUUAAUCCCAGGACUCAUGAGAGGUAUAUAAGACAGGAGCAAGGACUCAGUAUCAGGCAUUCAUUCUCCAGCCACACUGAGGAAAGGCAGCAGUCUGAGGCUUGGUGAAGAGCUCGUGCAUGGAUCAGCCCUUUCAGCCUGAGAUAGAGCAAGGUCCUGAUGGAGGAACGUCCAUCUGAUGGGGAAAGUCCAUGUCUGUAGCACUUGAAGGAAACCAGAGAACAUAGCCUGGGGCAUUGGAGAGAUGGCUCAGCGGUUAAGAGGAUUGACUGCUCUUCCAGAGGACCUGGGUUCAAAUCCCAGCACCCACAUGGCAUCCAGCAACUGUCUAUAACUCCAAGAUCUGACACCCUCACACAGACAUACAUGUAGGCAAAACACCAGUGCACCUAGAGAGAGAGAGAGAGAGAGAGAG